RNAcentral lists this ribosomal RNA (99 nucleotides) under Pogona vitticeps (central bearded dragon). The record is from RNAcentral. Lineage: Eukaryota; Metazoa; Chordata; Lepidosauria; Squamata; Agamidae.
UGAACUGUCUUUACUACCUUGAAGGUGCUCGGUCUCCUCUGAUCUCAGGGGCAAAGCAGGGUCAGGCCUGCUUAGUGCAUACAUGGGUAGUUAUCUCUU